Molecule: long non-coding RNA, 885 nt
Filed under: Solanum tuberosum (potato)
Lineage: Eukaryota; Viridiplantae; Streptophyta; Magnoliopsida; Solanales; Solanaceae
Description: long non-coding RNA (STUB_LNC003814)
Source: RNAcentral
CCCCAUUAUGUAGAAAUAAUUCUAUGUCAUAAAUAUUCUUAUCUUUUUUCAAUUCAACCAGAUCACUCCCCGUAACACCUCGGAUUCAAAAGAUAAAAAAAAUUCUGUCUUUCCAAAAAUCUGGUGCCAGGACAGAUGGAGUUACUAACGGACCGUUAGUGGUAUCACGGUUCGUAGUUGAAAAGAAUUUCAGUUUUGAUCGAAGAAACUCACUGUUACUGUUAUUGAUCAAAGCAAAAGCUUCAUCGAUUCACCCAAAGCUUCGAGGUUUGUCUGUUACUGACCGGAGCUUCAGAGAGUAAAAAAUAUUCAGACCAAGCUCCGAGAAGAAAAGUUCAAAAUCUAAGCUUUGAGAAGAAACCUUCUAAAUAUAUCGAUGAUUUGACUUUUUAAAAUUUUGGCUUUGAUAGAUAUAUUUAUUUGGAUUUUGAUAGAUAUAGGGUAACUUGAGUAAAUGUUAAUGAGGGCUGGGUAAAUAUUUAUUUGGAUUUUUAUAGAUAUAGGGUAACUUGGGUAAAUGUUAAUGAGGGUCGGGUAAAUAUUUAUAUGUGGACAAUCACACCAGCCAUCUUUUCACUGUUGAUAGCGUGUGUAUAAUGAUUGAAGUCUUUGGACGAUAUCAUAUAAAAAAUCAAGUUCAAUGUAUAUUUAAAUCUUGUUGUAGUUAAGAUGUUCAUUGAAUAAAGAGUUACAAGUUCAGAGGGUAUUUAACACUUCUCUCUUUUAUGUAUUGAACGCAAAGUUGAUUGACCACUCAUUAAAUUUAUUAAAACAUGUAAUGUAACGAUCCACAAGGUCGUUUUGUUCUUUUAGAUUCAUUUAUCCAGUUUGUACCUUUCUCUAUUUUGUUUAUGACCUGCGAGAAUAGGAAACAUGAUUUUCACG